AAUGAACGCUGGCGGCAUGCCUAACACAUGCAAGUCGAACGAAGGCUUCGGCCUUAGUGGCGCACGGGUGCGUAACCCGUUGGAAUCUGCCCUUGGGUUUGGCAUAUCAGUUAGAAUUGCCUGCUAAUACCGGAUGAUGUCCUACGUCCAAAGGUUUAUCGCGCCAGGAUGAGCCCGCGUAGGAUUAGCUUGUUGGUGGGGUAAAUGCCUAUCACUGGUAGGUUACUUAGCUGGUUUCAGAGGAUGAUCUCCGACACUGGUCGGAAGAAACGGCCCAGAAUCUUAGGGGAGGGAGGAGAGGGGGAUAUAGGAAAGUGGGGGGAGGGCUGAAGGAGCAAUGCCGGGUGAGUGAUGAAGGCCGGGGGGAUGUAAAGCUCGUUUACCCGGGGUGAUAAUGACGGUACCGGGAGAAUAAGCACCGGCUAACUUCGUG
This 433-nucleotide ribosomal RNA is filed under the name uncultured bacterium. Its description in RNAcentral is "partial 16S ribosomal RNA". It matches the Rfam family "Bacterial small subunit ribosomal RNA", at positions 29 to 507 of the family's 1533-position model. The record is from RNAcentral.